This 112-nucleotide Y RNA is filed under the name Microcebus murinus (gray mouse lemur). RNAcentral's name for it is "Y RNA (ENSMICG00000042737.1)". It matches the Rfam family "Y RNA". Rfam says of the family: Y RNAs are components of the Ro ribonucleoprotein particle (Ro RNP), in association with Ro60 and La proteins. The Y RNAs and Ro60 and La proteins are well conserved, but the function of the Ro RNP is not known. In humans the RNA component can be one of four small RNAs -- hY1, hY3, hY4 and hY5. The record is from Rfam by way of RNAcentral. Lineage: Eukaryota; Metazoa; Chordata; Mammalia; Primates; Cheirogaleidae.
GGCUGGUCCGAAGGCAGUGAGUUAUCUCAUCUGAUUGUUCACAGUCAGUUACAGAAGGAAUUUCUUGUUCUACUACUUUCCCCUUCCUACCACUGCACUUGACUAGUCUUAA